UUGGAGGGCAAGUCUGGUGCCAGCAGCCGCGGUAAUUCCAGCUCCAAUAGCGUAUAUUAAAGUUGUUGCAGUUAAAAAGCUCGUAGUUGAAUUUCGGGGUUCCACCGUUGGUCGGGCUAUUGUUUGUACUGGCGUGUGGAAUUUCUACCUUCUGGGGAACUAUCAUGUUAUUAAUUUAGCGUGGUAGGAAACCAGGACCUUUACCUUGAAAAAAUUAGAGUGUUUAAAGCAGGCAAUCGCUUGAAUACAUUAGCAUGGAAUAAUGAAAUAGGACGUUCGAUCCUAUUUUGUUGGUUUCUAGGAUUGACGUAAUGAUUAAUAGGGAUAGUUGGGGGCAUUAGUAUUCAAUUGUCAGAGGUGAAAUUCUUGGAUUUAUUGAAGACUAACUACUGCGAAAGCAUUUGCCAAGGAUGUUUUCAUUAAUCAAGAACGAAAGUUAGGGGAUCGAAGACGAUCAGAUACCGUCGUAGUCUUAACCAUAAACUAUGCCGACUAGGGAUCGGAUGAUGUUAAUUUUUUAAUGACUCAUUCGGCGCCUUACGGGAAA
This 547-nucleotide ribosomal RNA is filed under the name uncultured Glomeromycotina. Its description in RNAcentral is "SSU rRNA". It matches the Rfam family "Eukaryotic small subunit ribosomal RNA", at positions 548 to 1097 of the family's 1831-position model. Lineage: Eukaryota; Fungi; Glomeromycota. The record is from RNAcentral.